GACGAACGCUGGCGGCGUGCCUAAUACAUGCAAGUCGAACGAGAGCGACCGGUGCUUGCACUGGUCAAUCUAGUGGCGAACGGGUGAGUAACACGUGGGUAACCUGCCCAUCAGAGGGGGAUAACAUCCGGAAACGGAUGCUAAAACCGCAUAGGUCUUCGAGCCGCAUGGCUUGAAGAGGAAAAGAGGCGCAAGCUUCUGCUGAUGGAUGGACCCGCGGUGCAUUAGCUAGUUGGUGAGGUAAUGGCUCACCAAGGCCGUGAUGCAUAGCCGACCUGAGAGGGUGAUCGGCCACAUUGGGACUGAGACACGGCCCAAACUCCUACGGGAGGCAGCAGUAGGGAAUCUUCCGCAAUGGACGCAAGUCUGACGGAGCAACGCCGCGUGAGUGAAGAAGGUUUUCGGAUCGUAAAACUCUGUUGUUAGAGAAGAACAAGUGCUAGAGUAACUGUUAGCGCCUUGACGGUAUCUAACCAGAAAGCCACGGCUAACUACGUG
RNAcentral lists this ribosomal RNA (498 nucleotides) under uncultured bacterium. Its description in RNAcentral is "partial 16S ribosomal RNA". It matches the Rfam family "Bacterial small subunit ribosomal RNA", at positions 28 to 507 of the family's 1533-position model. The record is from RNAcentral.